This 70-nucleotide transfer RNA is filed under the name Clanoptilus assimilis. RNAcentral's name for it is "tRNA-Lys". Lineage: Eukaryota; Metazoa; Arthropoda; Insecta; Coleoptera; Melyridae. The record is from RNAcentral.
CAUUAGGUAACUUAAAGUAAGUAUUGGUCUCUUAAACCACACUAUAGUAAAGUAACGAUUACUCCUCAUG